Molecule: ribosomal RNA, 455 nt
Filed under: uncultured Thauera sp.
Lineage: Bacteria; Pseudomonadati; Pseudomonadota; Betaproteobacteria; Rhodocyclales; Zoogloeaceae
Description: bacterial SSU rRNA
Rfam family: Bacterial small subunit ribosomal RNA
Source: RNAcentral
ACAAGCGGUGGAUGAUGUGGAUUAAUUCGAUGCAACGCGAAAACCUUACCUACCCUUGACAUGUCUGGAACCUUGCUGAGAGGCGAGGGUGCCUUCGGGAGCCAGAACACAGGUGCUGCAUGGCUGUCGUCAGCUCGUGUCGUGAGAUGUUGGGUUAAGUCCCGCAACGAGCGCAACCCUUGUCAUUAGUUGCCAUCAUUUAGUUGGGCACUCUAAUGAGACUGCCGGUGACAAACCGGAGGAAGGUGGGGAUGACGUCAAGUCCUCAUGGCCCUUAUGGGUAGGGCUUCACACGUCAUACAAUGGUCGGUACAGAGGGUUGCCAAGCCGCGAGGUGGAGCCAAUCCCUUAAAGCCGAUCGUAGUCCGGAUCGUAGUCUGCAACUCGACUACGUGAAGUCGGAAUCGCUAGUAAUCGCAGAUCAGCACGCUGCGGUGAAUACGUUCCCGGGCCUU